CCUACGGGUGGCAGCAGUGGGGAAUAUUGGACAAUGGGCGAAAGCCUGAUCCAGCCAUGCCGCGUGUGUGAAGAAGGCCUUCGGGUUGUAAAGCACUUUCAGUGGGGAAGAAAGCCUUGGGGCUAAUACCCUCGAGGAAGGACAUCACCCACAGAAGAAGCACCGGCUAACUCCGUGCCAGCAGCCGCGGUAAUACGGAGGGUGCGAGCGUUAAUCGGAAUUACUGGGCGUAAAGCGCGCGUAGGCGGUCUGAUAAGCCGGUUGUGAAAGCCCCGGGCUCAACCUGGGAACGGCAUCCGGAACUGUCAGGCUAGAGUGCAGGAGAGGAAGGUAGAAUUCCCGGUGUAGCGGUGAAAUGCGUAGAGAUCGGGAGGAAUACCAGUGGCGAAGGCGGCCUCCUGGACUGACACUGACGCUGAGGUGCGAAAGCGUGGGUAGCAAACAGGAUUAGAUAUCCGAGUAGUC
This 465-nucleotide ribosomal RNA is filed under the name Vreelandella stevensii. Its description in RNAcentral is "partial 16S ribosomal RNA". It matches the Rfam family "Bacterial small subunit ribosomal RNA", at positions 338 to 795 of the family's 1533-position model. The record is from RNAcentral. Lineage: Bacteria; Pseudomonadati; Pseudomonadota; Gammaproteobacteria; Oceanospirillales; Halomonadaceae.